GAUGAACGCUAGCUACAGGCUUAACACAUGCAAGUCGAGGGCAGCAUGAACAAGCUUGCUUUGUUGAUGGCGACCGGCGCACGGGUGCGUAACACGUAUCCAAUCUGCCCGCGGCUCGGGGAUAGCCCAUCGAAAGAUGGAUUAAUACCCCGAUGGCGUGGUCACUCCGCAUGGGGUUUCCACUAAAGGUAUUCCGGCCGCGGAUGAGGAUGCGUAUGAUUAGGUAGUAGGCGGGGUAACGGCCCACCAAGGCGACGAUCAGUAGCCGGCCUGAGAGGGUGAACGGCCACAUUGGGACUGAGACACGGCCCAAACUCCUACGGGAGGCAGCAGUGGGGAAUAUUGGACAAUGGGGGAAACCCUGAUCCAGCGACGCCGCGUGAGUGAAGAAGUAUUUCGGUAUGUAAAGCUCUAUCAGCAGGGAAGAAAAUGACGGUACCUGACUAAGAAGCCCCGGCUAACUACGUG
RNAcentral lists this ribosomal RNA (468 nucleotides) under uncultured bacterium. RNAcentral describes it as "bacterial SSU rRNA". It matches the Rfam family "Bacterial small subunit ribosomal RNA", at positions 28 to 507 of the family's 1533-position model. The record is from RNAcentral.